AUCUUUUCUGCCAGCUUCUCUUCGUGUCUCCCAUAAAGUCGACUUCAACAGGACUGGGCAAUUUUGAAAGGACCUUGGAGACUCACCAGUAAGAUGAUGACAGGCAGAUCUUCCACUGUCUGCUCUUUCAGGUUCUGGAAACUGACCCGUGAUCUCAGGUCUUUGGGCAGCAGCACUAUCUCGAACUUACACAGCUUCCUGAAGAAAAGAACUAAGAAAAGCUCCACAGUGGGUGACAGCCCCUCCAUCACACUGAACCACCCACAGGAUUCUGCCCAGUUUCCUUGGAUCCACCAGCCACAACAAGCCUCUUGGUACCCACCAACAUUCCACCUGGAUUCCAAAUGACGUCGGGAUUCUUGGACCCGUUCUUGGAGCAUGGAAUUGAGUAACUUCUUCAAGGGCAUGUUGACACUCCGUAUAUUUCUGCCAGUAUCAGCGAGGUUCAAUAUGUGUCAUGAAUGUCUUUCAAGCCUGAUAUUCUCUACAGAUGUCUCCAUGCCAGUAUUCUCCAUUGUAGCAGAACAAGUCUCAUCAAUGUGUUGGCAUCUCUCCUCAAUCCGUGCUGCCAGCUUUUCUGACAUCUUUUCUCCGUGUCUCCCAUAAAGUCGACUUCAACAGGACUGGGCAGUUCUGAAAGGACUUCGGACCCUCACCAGUAAGCUGAUGACAGGCAAAUCAUGCACUGUCUGCCCUUUCAGGUUCUGGAAACUAACCCGUGAUACCAGGUUUUUGGGCAACAGCAUUAUCUCGAACUUACACAGCUUCCUGAACAAAAGAACUAAGACAAGCUCCACAGAGGGCAGCAUCCCCUCCAUCAAACUGAUCCACCCACAGAAUUCUGCCCAGUUACCUUGGAUCCACCAGGCACAAGAAGCCUCGCGGUACCCACCAACAUUCCACCUGGAAUCCAAAAGACGUCAGGAAUCUUGGACCCGUUCUUGGAGCAGAGAACUGAGUACCUUCCUCAAUUGCACAUAGGUGUUCCACAGGUUUCUGCCAUUAUCAGCGAGGCUCAAUAUAUCUCGUGAUUGUCUUUCUUGCCUGGGAUCCUCUGCAGAAGUCUCCAUGCCAGUAUUCUCCAUUGUAGGAGAACAACCAUCAUCAAUGUGUUCGCAUCUCUCCUCAAUCCAUGCAGCCAAAUUUUCUGCCAGGUUCUCUUCGUGUCUCCCAUAAAGUCGACUUCUACAGGACUGGGCAUGUCUAAAAGUACCUCGGAGCCUCACCAGUAAGCUGAUGACAGGCAGAUCUUCCACUGUCUGACUUUUCAAUUUCUAGAAAUUGACCCAUGAUCUCAGGCCACUGGGCAGCAACAGUAUCUCGAACUUACAGAGCUUCCUAAACAAUAGACUUAAGCCAAGCUCCACAGAGUGUGGCAACCCCACCAUGACACUGAUCCACCCACCGAGCUCUGCCAAGUUACCUUGGGUCCACCAGCUCAUAACAAGCCUCGUGGAACAAACCAACAUUCCACCUGGAAUCUAACCAGUAACUGCCAUCCUCAAUUUUUGCUGCAUUUUUACAGUGUUGGUGAAGGGGCUGCAUCAGACGACAGGUACUUAAGGUUUUCUGAGGCAUCAUUCUGUCUUUGGAAGUAAGAGACCACUCUUUGUCAAGUGUCCUGGACCACGGGCUGGUUUCUAGAAAAUGACCCGUGAUCUCAGGCCAUUGGGCAGCAUCAGUAUCUCGAAAUAACAUAUCUUCCUGAAGAAUACACCUAAGCCAAGCUCCACAGAGGGCAGCAGCCCCUCCAUGACACUGAUUCACCCACAGAGCUCUGCCCAGAUACCUUGGAUCCACCAGCCUCAACAAGCCUCGUGGAACACACAACAAUUCCACCUGGAUUCAAACCGGUUUUCUGAGGCCUCAUUCUCUUUUGGAACUAAGGGACCACUCUUCAGCAUGUGUCCUGAACCAAGGGCUUCACGUCAGGAAUCUUGGACCACUUCUUGGAGCAGAGAAUUGAGUACCUUCCUCAAGUAAACGUUGACCCUCCACAGGAUUCUGCUAGUAUCAGUGAGGCUCAACAUGACUCAUGAAAGUCUUUCAAGCCUGGUAUUCUCUAAAGAAGUCUUCAUGCCAGUAUUCUCCAUUGUAGCAGAACAACUCUCAUCAAUGUGUUCGCACGUCUCCUCAAUCUGUGCAGCCAGGUUUUCUGCCAGCUUCUCUUCGUGUCUCCAUUAAAGUCGACUUCUACAGCACUGGGCAAGUCUGAAAGUACCUCACAGCCUCACCGGUAUGCUGAUGAUGGGCAGAUCUUCCACAGUCUGUCUUUUCAGUUUCUUGAAACUGACCCGUGAUCUCAGGUAGUGAAGGUCGCACAACAUUGUGAAUGCCCCUAAUGCUCCUGAAUUGCACAAUUUAAAAGAGGAAAUGUCUAUAUUUUAUUACAUGAAACUCUAAAAAAAAAAAAUGAUGCCAUAAAUGAUGAGAAA
This is a long non-coding RNA of Camelus dromedarius (Arabian camel), 2435 nucleotides long. RefSeq lists it as uncharacterized. The record is from RefSeq and is a predicted model, not a curated record. NCBI's taxonomy places the organism in Eukaryota, Metazoa, Chordata, Mammalia, Artiodactyla, Camelidae. The transcript has 7 exons.